RNAcentral lists this long non-coding RNA (1298 nucleotides) under Vigna radiata. RNAcentral's name for it is "long non-coding RNA (VRAD_LNC011837)". Lineage: Eukaryota; Viridiplantae; Streptophyta; Magnoliopsida; Fabales; Fabaceae. The record is from RNAcentral.
UCUUUUAUUGAAACUCUUGUUUAUUUAUAUGCUUGUCAUAUGCUUUGAUUAUCAAUUGUUGGGUUCUCAUCUGUGCUUAAAGCUUUUAUCGUUUAACCUAUUUCGAUAACUGUUGUUUGUCUUUAUUGAUACGGGGACGUAUGGUACUGUCAUGAACUAGUGAGAAAUUCCUUGAUUAAGCAAUACCAACCUAGGGAUAGGGGGUAGGACGAUCAAUUUUUUUUGCUUCUGUUCUUAACGCGUUAUUAAUUGCUAUGGGAGGCUAGGGAUAGUAAGCGAGUAAUUAGUAAUAGGCUCUUUUCGCCGAGGGAUCGGGUUAAGGGUAGGCCAAGAAAGUUUGCAUAACAAUUAGAUAAUCAAGCACAUUAAACAAGAGGAGUAGAUAAGAGGGAGCGGAUAAGAUGGAAAUUGUCAACCCCCAAUAACUCCAUUCAUCCAUAGUCUUUUUCUUGUCAACUGAAUCAAACGCAUUGCAUGUUUAAUUUCUGUUUUUGCAUCCGCAACAAUUAAUUUUUCUCUACAAGUCUUACAAUCUCAAUUCGCACGAACGAUAAGGCCUUCCGAGUUUCUUGGGAAGAAUGAUAUCGGGCAUUACCGAUUAUAUUACUUGAACGAUCUGGUACACUUGCCAGUGAGUCAACAAUGGACAAGAAACACAAAUCCUAGUAGCACUUUUUAUAUAAAAACAAAAAAAAAAAACAAAAACAAAAUAUAUACAAUCAAGUCAAAUUUACUCAAUUUACACUACUAGAUAAGUUAAACCAUGAUUCCCCGGCAACGGCGCCAAAAACUUGUUAAGUCCCUGGCAAGUGUACCAGAUCGUUAUCAAGUAAUAUAAAACGGGUAAGUCCGAGUAUCGUUUUCCCAAAGGACUCUUAGGCCUUAACUUUCAUGUAAAGAGAUCGCAUAAGACUUGAGAAAAGAAAUUAAUUUUAGGUUUUGUAUGCAAAGGACGAAACUAAACAUGCAAAAUGCAGUGAAUCAAUUGGCUAGAAGAAACUAUGGAUGAAUGGAAUUGUUGGGGUUUACAAUUUCAUCUUAUCCACCCUCUUAUAUCCACUCUUCUUAUUUAAUUUGCUUAUUUAUCAUAUUGUCAUGCAAACUUUCUUAGUCUACCCUAAACCCAAUCUCUUGGAGAAAAGAGCCUAUUACUAAUUACUGGCUUGUUAUCUCUAGCCUCCCCUAGUAACUAGCAAUGCAUGAUAAAUGGAAGCAAAAUACAAUUGAUCGUCCUACCCCUAUCUCUAGGCGGUAUUAGCAUAAUGAAGGAAUUCCCCCCAGUUCAUGACAAACAACAA